AUCAGUUACCCCUGAGCUCUUUUGAGGGCUGGCGUUGUCAUUGCUGCUGUUCCAGACUUGAAGAAAGAGAGUGUGCUCAAAGCAUUUGCUUUUUCCAGUUGUGUCUGCCGUCCUACUGAAAAACUAUCACCUCUGUUUCCAGACUUUGCUUCAUUAAUGCUGGAAGCAAUCUUGCUGUUGACUUCCUGGGAACAAGGUCAGAUUUUUAAUGCUAUCAUCCGACACGAAGCAGAUAAUGGACAUGUGAGUCAAAGCUACUCACAGCUAUGCCCUUUUCAAAGAAAGACCCAUUGGAUCUCAUUAAGGCAGAUACCCGUUGCAUAAGAAAUCAGUGGAAUGUAUUUGGUGACUACUACAAUUGGAGGAUUCCCACAUAUCAUUCCAAAAUGUAUAUUGAAAUCACAGCGCAACAAAGAGGCUGAAUUCCGUGGCCCUGUGUUGGGACCAGAUGUGCAGAGCUGUGAAGAGUUCUGGUGCCCUCUGCGGACAGAAAGACAGACGGACCCGAUUCCUUCAGCAAGUCCGGAGCUCCAUCUAGUGUCCUACAGACGAAUGGCGAGGGAAAGAGCGUGGAUGCAAGAAAGCAAGGGAAAGGUUGGUGCGCGAAGCUCUUGUUGGCACCUCCAGUAGGCACGCUGGCAGGAAUGUUGGUUGAUUCUGCUCUCACAAGAGCAACAACAAAAGCAACGAGGCCACAGUGUCUCUGACAAUUCAGCUAAUUCUUUUCUCCUUCGUAACACAGCUGUCAUGAAUAUUUACGUUAUUUAUGCAUCAACAGAUCGUUCAAGAGCCGACACUGUAUCGGCGAUGGCCAGUUCUAUCAAUGUGCAUUGCACAUUUCUUUCCUCUUUCUGUAUUUUCACUGAUUUUGCUAAAAAAUCUGUACCAAGUUCCAUAGUACGAACAAUUGUUUACUUGCUUAAAAUUAAUGCAUGUGGUUUCUGUUAGCAAGUGAAUGUUAAACUGGAUAAUUAUCUUCUUGAAGUUUUCCAAGCUAAAAAGCUUGACUUGUCUCAGCAUUGAACAAAUAUAUAUGUAUAAAUAA
This 1045-nucleotide long non-coding RNA is filed under the name Numida meleagris (helmeted guineafowl). RNAcentral's name for it is "lncRNA (ENSNMEG00000004622.1)". Lineage: Eukaryota; Metazoa; Chordata; Aves; Galliformes; Numididae. The record is from RNAcentral.